Molecule: ribosomal RNA, 960 nt
Filed under: Saccharomyces cerevisiae (brewer's yeast)
Lineage: Eukaryota; Fungi; Ascomycota; Saccharomycetes; Saccharomycetales; Saccharomycetaceae
Description: SSU rRNA
Rfam family: Eukaryotic small subunit ribosomal RNA
Source: RNAcentral
CUGCGAAUGGCUCAUUAAAUCAGUUAUCGUUUAUUUGAUAGUUCCUUUACUACAUGGUAUAACUGUGGUAAUUCUAGAGCUAAUACAUGCUUAAAAUCUCGACCCUUUGGAAGAGAUGUAUUUAUUAGAUAAAAAAUCAAUGUCUUCGGACUCUUUGAUGAUUCAUAAUAACUUUUCGAAUCGCAUGGCCUUGUGCUGGCGAUGGUUCAUUCAAAUUUCUGCCCUAUCAACUUUCGAUGGUAGGAUAGUGGCCUACCAUGGUUUCAACGGGUAACGGGGAAUAAGGGUUCGAUUCCGGAGAGGGAGCCUGAGAAACGGCUACCACAUCCAAGGAAGGCAGCAGGCGCGCAAAUUACCCAAUCCUAAUUCAGGGAGGUAGUGACAAUAAAUAACGAUACAGGGCCCAUUCGGGUCUUGUAAUUGGAAUGAGUACAAUGUAAAUACCUUAACGAGGAACAAUUGGAGGGCAAGUCUGGUGCCAGCAGCCGCGGUAAUUCCAGCUCCAAUAGCGUAUAUUAAAGUUGUUGCAGUUAAAAAGCUCGUAGUUGAACUUUGGGCCCGGUUGGCCGGUCCGAUUUUUUCGUGUACUGGAUUUCCAACGGGGCCUUUCCUUCUGGCUAACCUUGAGUCCUUGUGGCUCUUGGCGAACCAGGACUUUUACUUUGAAAAAAUUAGAGUGUUCAAAGCAGGCGUAUUGCUCGAAUAUAUUAGCAUGGAAUAAUAGAAUAGGACGUUUGGUUCUAUUUUGUUGGUUUCUAGGACCAUCGUAAUGAUUAAUAUGGACGGUCGGGGGCAUCAGUAUUCAAUUGUCAGAGGUGAAAUUCUUGGAUUUAUUGAAGACUAACUACUGCGAAAGCAUUUGCCAAAGGACGUUUUCAUUAAUCAGAACGAAAGUUAUGGGAUCGAAGAUGAUCAGAUACCGUCGUAGUCUUAACCAUAAACUAUGCGACUAGGGAUCGG